UUUCCGCCUAACAAGAGAAUUGCCAAUGAGGAAUGAGGAUGUGUCCAUUUUAAUAAUAACACCAGUUGUUGCUUUUAUCUCCUGCCAACACCAGUUCUGCAAAGAAGAAGUUGUCAGUUUCUAAUUUACAAAAUCAGAAUUUUUUAUCUGGUCUGUCAUCGCUAGGGGUGUGUAAACACUCCCAUUAUUUAACUAUCAAAACUGGCCUUCUCAUGAAAAACCUAAAAAUAAUAGGGAACAUUUCUCCUUUUUUUCUCAACUUCCUCUCCAUUGUUUCACCCCGAAGUAAAUUAACAUUUGAAAGUGUUUGCAUUUAUAAAGUCAUGUACUUUGACCUUGCCAAUUGGUCUUCUACACAGUAUAUGUUUUUCAUAUCCUUUGCUGGCUGUACUGAGUGAUUUUGAAACAGAAUAAAAUCAGUGUUAAGAGAUUCCCACUGAAAUGUUUGAAAGAAUUCAGUUGACUGAAUAGCACCCACUGCUUAUAACACUUCCUAAAUAUUGCUAUGAGCUGCUUAUAAUCACUCAUAGAAUUGUUAUAAAGCCCUAUAGAUGUAUUUAUAAGGCUUUAACAAUGUUCUAAUGAGGCACUAUGAGAAGUGGGUUCAUAUAAAGUGUUACUGAGAUUUUAUCUGUGAGGAGUCUCUAACUCGUUGUCAAACAGAUUUAAAUUCUCAUGAAAUUGAGUGUAUCCACCUUAUUCCUGAAGGUGCUACUGUUUUUACGAUUAUGAGUAAAAUCGGAAAUAUCUUUAAGAUGGUUUGUCGUGGUGGCCAAUCGUAGGGACUGAGCAAUGAUAGCAGUUGUUUUGAAUCUAAAUUACCAGCACAGGGCCCCCCCAAAGGUCACUUUUGGCUCCCUUCCUUUUUACCCUGUACACACAACAAACUACCACCUGCAGAAGAUCUCGGAUGACUCCGCUAUUGUUGGCCUCAUUGCCAAUGAUGAAAUGGUGGAUCCUUCUAUGACUCUGUAGUGGCCUCAGCCAUCCUCUAUGGAGUGGUCUGCUGGAGCAGCAGCAUCACAACUGCAAACAGGAACAGACUAAACAAACUGGUGAGGAGGGCUCGCUCUGUCCUGGACUGCCCUCUAGACCGUGUAGCGGUGGUGGGAGACAGGAGGGUGAUGGCUAAGCAUUCGUCUCUCAUGGACAAUGUUUUCCAUUGUACUUAUUAUUCUAUGUUUGCCGUGUGGAUCCUUUGCUGCUGUUAACACUGCAAGUUUUCCCCACAUGGAAUGAAUAAAGGUUUAUCUUAUUGUAGCAGGUAGGAUUAAGAGGCUGCAUGCUGUGCUGCCUCUCCAAAAACUAGGUCAACUCCCCCCCCCUUUUCCCUACCCUCCUAUUUAAGACACCUGUGGCAGGAGCGCUGCUGCCUUUUCCUUUGUCUGCCUGCUUGCUGCCACAUGGUCUGGACAGAGGCAAUGAGGACUGGUUCAUAGUAUUUGACCAUUGAUUUAGAGUCCCUUUUAAUCAGUAGCUGAAUUGUGAGUGUUUGAUUGCAGUUUGCACUUUUCCCUCUGUCGACGUCCACCGGUACAGAAAGCUUGGAUAGAUGUACCUAAACAGACUCAAUCAGCUGCUGUUUUGUUUUGUUUUGGCCUUUUAGAUCCUGUUGUUGUCUUUUGAAAUUUGGUUUGGUUUGGUUUGUUUUUUUCUGUUAGUAUUUUAGGAAUUGCGAUUAAAGAGAAAUUUUAGCAGAACCAACUGGGUUCUUUUAUAUAGUUUUCAGCAUUUCUUUUGUAUAACUCUUUCUUUGUCAACCCCUACAAUGCAGUGGUGGAUGGCUAGCAGUGGAGGCUAGGCACGUUGGGUGGUUCCCCACACCUUUUUUUUGCAGUGGUAGCCACACUGGGGCACCAUAGUCUACACCGGUUUGCAGUAUCUGUAGUGAUUUGCAGAGGGUUCACGUGUGGUGGAUAAGUGCACUCCUGGGACACUUCCUUUGGUAGACUGCCUCCCUCUUGCUAGCUCCCACUCACUGCCCCCUUCCUUUUUUUGAUUAGUUUUAACUAUCUGGAAGUGUUUUAUUAAUUGUCAAAAGAAUCAGUUGUAACAGUUUUCCAAUCCAAUUCAAUAACAGACUCAAGCUUUUUAUUACAAAUUCACCGCUAACUCUUUUUUGUUUCUUUCAGCAGACACUUCUAGGUCCAAGCAUUUUUUACAUUUUUAUGUUAUAAAUAAAUCUUGAUUUUGCUUUGAACAACAGCUCUGUCUCAUAGCCUUUUCUGAAUUUAUGGUUGAAACUGGGUUAAAUUCAUUGGGUGAAAGUCCCUCGGUGACGUUGGUGGAUGACCUUAGCAUUUAUCUGAAAUUUGCCCUCCCCCACACAGCCACAUUAUCUUGAGAUAAAUCUUAUUUGAGGCCAUUUGUUUAUAUCGUCCUCCCACCCCUUGAUUGAUAGGAGGGCAGAGGAAUGAUAACAUUGUCCCUUUUGAAGGUAUGACAGCUGAUUUUCCCACAUUAGUUUUAUCCUUGAUUGCUCUAAUAAUCACUAUUAGCGUACAGUUGCUAUGGAAAAUGCCAGCCUGACGCUCAGUGACAGAGAGCAUCAGAAGACCUGCCAACAAUUUAUGCAAUUUUUAACAAAACAUAGGCAGAGUGACAAUGAAAACACAAUAUUUAGUUCUUAAAACUUGCUUAAAUGUUGGCAAAACUUCAUCUUUUUCUGCUAAGACAACUUGGGAUGAGUUGGAGGGACUAGCAAGCUUUGUACUCUGAACUAGUAUCUUUAUUUUGGCACUACUAAACCACAAUGGUGGUUAGUAAUUCAAAUAAUCAACACAACAAGUCCACCCUGAAUAGGUGGUAUGUUGGUGUUUCCUGUGUGCCAGUACACAUGGCAUUAUGUGGCUGCACGACUUGUUGACACACAGCAGGAGCUUCACAUGCAAACACACUCUGGCAUGCACACAUGCACAUAUACAUCACCACCUACUUGCUCUGUUGCUAUCUGAAAGGGAGGAUCAGAAGCAGAAGAACUGUGUUCCUCCAGUUCACCUUUGGUUGUUACACAUUGCAGUAACAGGGGUGCAAGUAUCACGCCUCUAUACGGCAGUAUGUAAGCACCUAUAGAAACUGCACAUUGUGUAUUCUGUUGAAUGCAGUGGAAGUCUUCACGCAGGAAUGAAAACCUGUUCUCCUUUGGGAGUCUCUCAGAAACAAACUGCAACUUAUU
This 3175-nucleotide long non-coding RNA is filed under the name Xyrichtys novacula (pearly razorfish). The record is from RNAcentral. Lineage: Eukaryota; Metazoa; Chordata; Actinopteri; Labriformes; Labridae.